UACAGAGGGUGCGAACGUUGCUCGGAAUUACUGGGCGUAAAGCGCGUGUAGGCGGCCUGUUAAGUUGGUAGUGAAAUCCCAUGGCUCAACCAUGGAAGUGCUGCCAAAACUGGCAGGCUGGAGUGCCGGAGAGGGUGGCGGAAUUCCCAGUGUAGAGGUGAAAUUCGUAGAUAUUGGGAGGAACACCAGUGGCGAAGGCGACCACCUGGACUGUAACUGACGCUAAGACGCGAAAUCUUGGGGAGCAAACAGG
This 253-nucleotide ribosomal RNA is filed under the name uncultured bacterium. RNAcentral's name for it is "partial 16S ribosomal RNA". It matches the Rfam family "Bacterial small subunit ribosomal RNA", at positions 524 to 776 of the family's 1533-position model. The record is from RNAcentral.